ACCCAAAUCACUAUUUCUAAUCAAAUUCUCGUCUCCGUAUUUUGCUUAAUCCUCUGCAAAAACACUCAAAAUCGAAUUCGCAGCGAGGUUUUAUUUAUCGACGACACCCAUUUGGGAUAUCUUCCUCGACGGAGAACGACGAUUGAGGAUAGAAAACUCGGUUUACAGAUUAUUGAAAAACAGUCACAAUGGUGAAGACGACGAAGGGAGGCAAAACGAUGAACCCUACCGAUUCCUACCGCAAAGAGAUCCGCAAAAAGGAAUUGAAGCGGGUAAUUGUCCGUUUCUAUUCUCUAUUGAUGUAAUUUCCCCCCCCCUUGUUGAUUAUGUAUUUUGCCGUCCUUUCGAUUUUUUAGGUUAUUUGUGCAAUAUGAAAUCAUGUGUGGGGAUAUUGUUGGAACAAUUUUUUUUUUCUUUCUUUUGUUUUGGAUUCUUCGAUUUUGCUUUAUAAAUUCAAGUUUAGUCAGUGUAAGUUUUCACUCAAUUGAAAUAAUUGUUUUUUUUUUAAAUAUAUUCUAUUAUAGCAUUAGGGAAGCUGAUUAACAUCGGUCGUUUGUUUUGCUAUACCUAUGGAUGUUUCUGUAUGAAAAAAGUUGAGAAAUUGGGCAUGUGUUGUAGUUGAGUUUUAUUUCUACUGCACAUUUUUAGAGUGAUGAUCGCGUAACAGUUUUAAUGUUUUAUGAUUCAAAUUUGUUGCUUGUGUCGUAAAAAGUUUCAAAUUGUUAAGUAUUUUGAAGAAAUGUUGUGCAUUCUAGAGCUUCUAAAAUCAUUGUUGAAUUUAUUGUACAGAACAAGAAGGAGAGAAAGAAGGUUCGGUCUGUUAUAUUCCCACUGUCAUGUUCAGUCUCUUUUCAU
Molecule: long non-coding RNA, 855 nt
Filed under: Erythranthe guttata (spotted monkey flower)
Lineage: Eukaryota; Viridiplantae; Streptophyta; Magnoliopsida; Lamiales; Phrymaceae
Description: long non-coding RNA (EGUT_LNC001632)
Source: RNAcentral